GUCCACGCCGUAACGAUGAAUACUAGGUGUCGGGAGCAUGGCUCUUCGGUGCCGUCGCAAACGCAGUAAGUAUUCCACCUGGGAGUACGUUCGCAAGAAUGAAACUCAAAGGAAUUGACGGGACCCGCACAAGCGGUGGAGCAUGUGGUUUAAUUCGAAGCAACGCGAAGAACCUUUACCAAGUCUUGACAUCCCCCUGACCGGAACUUAACCGUUCCUUCCUUCGGGACAGGGGAGACAGGUGGUGCAUGGUUGUCGU
RNAcentral lists this ribosomal RNA (259 nucleotides) under uncultured bacterium. RNAcentral's name for it is "partial 16S ribosomal RNA". It matches the Rfam family "Bacterial small subunit ribosomal RNA", at positions 793 to 1055 of the family's 1533-position model. The record is from RNAcentral.